UCAACGCGCAGCAGGUGCAGCAGCACUGCCCCAUGUGCCGGCAGGAGUGGAAGUUCAAGGAGUGAGGCGCCCAUGCUGCACCUGGACCCCUCUCCCCCACCCCAAGAUGGCCCUGAGUCCCCCUUUUCCUAGUGGGACCUGAUGGCCAUGGUCUGGAGACAGUCCUUGGGCUGUGACAGGGUUGAAACAAGGACCGGAGCCUGUUUGUUGUUUUCCAUCACAAUGCUGACGCUUUUAUUCAAUAAAUAAAACUCAUUAAAGUACCUGAGCCUUGCUGGAGGCUUUGGCUGCCUGUGUCUUGGCACAUUGAUGAAGCUGCAGUGUUUUGAUAUGAAAACUCUCAUGAAUAAACAUCUUGAUGAAACACCGCUGAAGUCCUGAGUCACAGUUCUGGGAAAAGAGUGCAGAAUCAUGAAAGAGCCUGGGGCAGGGCAUGGCCAAAUCAAGGCCCCGGAAUGGAAUAUGUGUGUGCCAACGGGAGCCACAGCAGCCAUGUCCUGUCAGUGGGCUUCUUAAUGGCUGUCACCCCCAGAACCCUCACUCAGGCCUUGGCAGGAGGAAGAUGUCCCCGAGCAAGUUCUGGUAGUGUCAGGUGGGCUGCAGAUGGCUAUGGCAUUCUGUUCUCACAGAACCUUGUCCUUUGUUCAAACUGAAGACCAGGUCCAGUGCAGGCUCUCCAUGUUGGGAUGUCUCCAGGUGUCCUAGGGAAGGACACCUCUCAGGAGGCUCCUCUGGUCCCCACAGCCAAGAGAAGGCACCUACGGAGGGACCAGCAGCCCACUGCCGUCCUUCCUAUGCUGUUCUUAGUAGCUUCUGCUACUAGGCACUCGGAACCCGGGCCCAGCGUGAGCCAGCAUGGGGCCCCACUCCUGGGAACCUAACCUGGGAACCAGUUCUGCCCUCGUCCUCUCUGAAGCAUCUUCUCAUGAGACAGGACAUGUCUGCCAGGGCUCAGGCUCCUCAGGCUAACCUCUGAACCCUCUAUCGCCACAAAGCCUCCCUCUUGGCUUCCCUGCCAUUUGAGUUCCCACUGAGUUCCACCUGGGUCCUUUCCUGCGGGUCAGCUCCACCCAUCUCUGGUCUGCUCACCAGACCUCCCAGAAUGUUGAGUUUCUCUGGAGAUCACAAACCUAGUAGCCACCCCACUCUGCACAUGGGGGCUCCAGUUCCUGCCCUUUGAUCCCAUUGUUCUGCUGCCUGCCUCCUCCCAGGUCAGGACCUCUGUAAAGUCCUCAUCAAACCCUGUAGCAUUCCCCCCUCUUAGCCCCCUGUUCCAGGAAGCCACAGAAACUCCUGUGGGAGGGUCACCCCACUGGUCUCUGCAGACUCUUCCCAAGCAUCCUCUUACCUCCCUGGGAGGACCCCUUCCUUACUCCCACCUGUCCUAGGCAGGGACUGAGCCCUGUUUGUGGCCUUGGCCCUGGCAUGCAGGUGGUGUUCAGUAUGUCUUAUUUCUGGGCAGUCUCCUGUGUGCCCAGUAUUGGCUGAAGGAAUGCAGGGAAGGCUCCAGGUGGAAGUAUCUCAGAGACCACCAUACAGGGUCAGAGCUGGGCAGGGAGCCGCC
Molecule: long non-coding RNA, 1564 nt
Filed under: Marmota monax (woodchuck)
Lineage: Eukaryota; Metazoa; Chordata; Mammalia; Rodentia; Sciuridae
Source: RNAcentral